Long non-coding RNA from Spinacia oleracea (spinach), 1173 nucleotides. RefSeq lists it as uncharacterized. The transcript is spliced from 3 exons. The record is from RefSeq and is a predicted model, not a curated record. NCBI's taxonomy places the organism in Eukaryota, Viridiplantae, Streptophyta, Magnoliopsida, Caryophyllales, Amaranthaceae.
UUAAACAUUUCUAUUCAAAUUAAUUUCCUAAAAAUAGAAAUCAAUUUUCUGAAUUUUUGCCUAACUAAAGUGAAAUGACAAAACAACAAAAUGCCUUAAAAGAAUAAAAACUUCAUUUUUUUUGUUUUCUUUCUUUGCUCUUCACGUGUACCAGGAAGAAGGAAGCAAUUCCUUUCUUCCUCUCUUUCCCUCAAUUCGGUCUACAUUCAACCUUGAGCCCCAAGCAAAUCCUCCUUCUCAUUCACUCUAUUUGACUCUACAAAUCAGCCAUACAUGUCCAACUGAAUUCUAACCAAAAACAAUAAAAAACAAAAUCAAAUUUCAAUUUUUGCUUCUCUUGUUUCUGUGAUUCGAACCACCAAACCACCACCCACUCCAACCGCCAACUACCACCGCCGCUCCCAACCACCACAUCCACCUUGUAAACCAACAGCCGCCCCCAACAACUCCAGCGAACCGUUGCGCCGCCGCCCAGAACCAAACUGAAAUACCCCCCCUCCCCUGUUUUGCGCAACCUCUCCCAUGCCUUUGCUCUCCUUCACGCCCAGCCGUCGGCGCCGCCGUGCUGCCACGUUCCUCCUCCCUUCUCUUCUGUGCGCAAGCCACCAACACCGAAGCCGCCACACCGCAAGUCCGCAACCACCUCGUCACUUACCCCCGCCUCCACCUUCACCGUGAACCACGAUCCCUCCUCCCAGAACUGGCCGAAAAACAACCCACAAACUCCCCUGCUUUCCCCUUCGAUUCUCGACUCCGCCUCCUCUCGCCUCACUGCUCCGCCGUGAGCAGCCGCACAUCCACCACCAUCACCGGCGCCUCCUGGCGCGGCUACGGUGCAGCUGCGCCAUCCAGGACCCGAACCCAGCUUCCCCUCCCCUUCCUUUUCUCUUCCCUCCUCCCUUCCCCUCCCCUGUUCGUGUCUUUUUCCAGAAACCAGAAAUCAGGUUUCAAUAUGAAACCUUGAUUUUAUUUCCCUCAAUCCCAUAAUGGAGUUGGGCCACUUUCAUUUGGGCUUUUGGAAAUUGGACUUGGAGCUCAGGAAGAACGAUCCAUCAGACGGGAAGUAUAAAACUACGGUUGAGGUACUGCUGGGGACCACGGAAACGAGUAGUGACGAGGAUUUCACUAUUACAAUGAUCACCUAAGUUAAUGUUAAGUUGUAACAAGUUUAAG